RNAcentral lists this ribosomal RNA (254 nucleotides) under uncultured bacterium. Its description in RNAcentral is "partial 16S ribosomal RNA". It matches the Rfam family "Bacterial small subunit ribosomal RNA", at positions 524 to 776 of the family's 1533-position model. The record is from RNAcentral.
UACGUAGGGUGCGAGCGUUAAUCGGAAUUACUGGGCGUAAAGCGUGCGCAGGCGGUCUGUUAAGACCGAUGUGAAAUCCCCGGGCUCAACCUGGGAACUGCAUUGGUGACUGGCAGGCUUUGAGUGUGGCAGAGGGGGGUAGAAUUCCACGUGUAGCAGUGAAAUGCGUAGAGAUGUGGAGGAAUACCGAUGGCGAAGGCAGCCCCCUGGGCCAACACUGACGCUCAUGCACGAAAGCGUGGGGAGCAAACAGG